CCUACGGGAGGCAGCAGUGGGGAAUAUUGCACAAUGGGGGGAACCCUGAUGCAGCGACGCCGCGUGAGUGAUGAAGUAUUUCGGUAUGUAAAGCUCUAUCAGCAGGGAAGAAAAUGACGGUACCUGACUAAGAAGCCCCGGCUAACUACGUGCCAGCAGCCGCGGUAAUACGUAGGGGGCAAGCGUUAUCCGGAUUUACUGGGUGUAAGGGGAGCGUAGACGGCGGUGCAAGCCAGAUGUGAAAGGCGGGGGCGCAACCCCCGGACUGCCCUUGAAACUGUGCUGCUAGAGUGCCGGAGAGGUAGGCGGAAUUCCUAGUGUAGCGGUGAAAUGCGUAGAUAUUAGGAGGAACACCAGUGGCGAAGGCGGCCUGCUGGACUGUGACUGACGUUGAGGCUCGAAAGCGUGGGGAGCAAACAGGAUUAGAUACCCUGGUAGUC
RNAcentral lists this ribosomal RNA (440 nucleotides) under uncultured bacterium. RNAcentral describes it as "partial 16S ribosomal RNA". It matches the Rfam family "Bacterial small subunit ribosomal RNA", at positions 338 to 795 of the family's 1533-position model. The record is from RNAcentral.